GAUCAUGGCUCAGAUUGAACGCUGGCGGCGUGCUUAACACAUGCAAGUCGCGCGUGAAAGGACUUCGGUCCGAGUAAAGCGGCGCACGGGUGAGUAACGCGUGGAUGAUCUACCCAUGAGUUAGGAAUAACGGCUGGAAACGGUCGCUAAUACCAAAUACGCUCCGAUUUCAACUUCGGGGGAAAGGUGGCCUCUGCUUGCAAGCUACUGCUCAUGGAUGAGUCCGCGUCCCAUUAGCUAGUUGGUGGGGUAACGGCCCACCAAGGCGACGAUGGGUAGCCGGUCUGAGAGGAUGACCGGCCACACUGGGACUGGAACACGGCCCAGACUCCUACGGGAGGCAGCAGUGGGGAAUAUUGCGCAAUGGGCGAAAGCCUGACGCAGCGACGCCGCGUGAAGGGAUGAAGGUCCUCGGAUCGUAAACCUCUGUCAGGAGGGAAGAACCGCCACGGUGCUAAUCAGCCGUGGUCUGACGGUACCUCCAAAGGAAGCACCGGCUAACUCCGUGCCAGCCGCCGC
This 519-nucleotide ribosomal RNA is filed under the name uncultured bacterium. RNAcentral describes it as "bacterial SSU rRNA". It matches the Rfam family "Bacterial small subunit ribosomal RNA", at positions 15 to 518 of the family's 1533-position model. The record is from RNAcentral.